Molecule: long non-coding RNA, 360 nt
Filed under: Oryza sativa (Asian cultivated rice)
Lineage: Eukaryota; Viridiplantae; Streptophyta; Magnoliopsida; Poales; Poaceae
Description: long non-coding RNA (OSAT_LNC001109)
Source: RNAcentral
AAAUUCCUCCAGGUGCCACCUCCUCCAUGCCUUUGCCAGGUUCUGCAGUUCCUAAAGGCAUCACCUCAAUGUCUUCAUCAGGUUCUUUGAUUGUUGGAGAUGCCACCUCCUCCAUGCCUUGAUCGGGUUCUACAAUUUUUGGAGGUGCCGCAUCCUCCAUGCCUUCAUCAGGUUCUACAAUUUUUGGAGGUGCCGCAUCCUCCAUGCCUUCAUCAGGUUCUACGAUUUUUGGAGGUGCCACAUCCUCCAUGCCUACAUCAGGUUCAAUAAUUACUGGAGGUGCCCCCACAUUACCAGGUUCUAUACUUGCUGGAGAUGUCACGCCAAUGCCACCAGCUAGCUCCUGUCUCAAUGGUAACU